AGGUAAGGGUCCUCCUUCUCUUCAAAGGUAAUCAACGGUCGUCUUGUGUCCUUACCAUUGGGCAUGAUUGACACCACCAGUUUAGGAUAAGCAAUGUUGGAGCAGCCGACUUCAGUCCCACACACCUUCUUACACACUUCAGGGACGACACAGCCAACCUCAUCUACAGUUGGAUGUGGAAGGACAAGUGCAAGCCACAGACCCGGGUAGAGGACCCUGCUGAUCAUGCCGGGGAAAACCAUGAGGAACAUAGGCAGCAGUUUGAGCUGCUAGGGAGGAACAAAGACGAGGGCCUGGGUGGACUGACAGAAGCCAAAAACGUGAACUAUGUGUAGUGUUGUGCAAAAGAUAAUAAGAAUUAAA
Long non-coding RNA from Xiphias gladius (swordfish), 363 nucleotides. RefSeq lists it as uncharacterized. NCBI's taxonomy places the organism in Eukaryota, Metazoa, Chordata, Actinopteri, Istiophoriformes, Xiphiidae. The transcript has 3 exons. The record is from RefSeq and is a predicted model, not a curated record.